UACAGAGGUCUCAAGCGUUGUUCGGAUUCAUUGGGCGUAAAGGGUGCGUAGGCGGCGCGGUAAGUCGGGUGUGAAAUUUCGAGGCUUAACUUCGAAACUGCAUUCGAUACUGCCGUGCUUGAGGACUGGAGAGGAGACUGGAAUUUACGGUGUAGCGGUGAAAUGCGUAGGUAUCGUAAGGAAGACCAGUGGCGAAGGCGGGUCUCUGGACAGUUCCUGACGCUGAGGCACGAAGGCCAGGGGAGCAAACGGG
Molecule: ribosomal RNA, 253 nt
Filed under: uncultured bacterium
Lineage: Bacteria
Description: partial 16S ribosomal RNA
Rfam family: Bacterial small subunit ribosomal RNA
Source: RNAcentral